CUACGGGAGGCUGCAGUGAGGAAUUUUGCGCAAUGGGCGUAAGCCUGACGCAGCAACGCCGCGUGAGUGAAGAAGGCCCUCGGGUCGUAAAGCUCUGUCGGACGGGAAGAACCUGCGGUGGGGUAAUAUAUCACCGCACUGACGGUACCGUCGAAGGAAGCACCGGCUAACUCCGUGCCAGCAGCCGCGGUAAUACGGAGGGUGCAAGCGUUAUUCGGAAUUAUUGGGCGUAAAGGGCGCGUAGGCGGUCCGGCAGGUCGGAUGUGAAAUCCCGGGGCUUAACCCCGGAAGUGCAUUCGAAACCUCCGGACUUGAGUAUGGGAGAGGGAAGCGGAAUUCCUGGUGUAGCGGUGAAAUGCGUAGAUAUCAGGAGGAACACCGGUGGCGAAGGCGGCUUCCUGGACCAAUACUGACGCUGAUGCGCGAAGGCGUGGGGAGCAAACAGGAUUAGAUACCCGGGUAGUC
Molecule: ribosomal RNA, 465 nt
Filed under: uncultured bacterium
Lineage: Bacteria
Description: partial 16S ribosomal RNA
Rfam family: Bacterial small subunit ribosomal RNA
Source: RNAcentral